RNAcentral lists this non-coding RNA (31 nucleotides) under Mus musculus (house mouse). Lineage: Eukaryota; Metazoa; Chordata; Mammalia; Rodentia; Muridae. The record is from RNAcentral.
UAACAAGUCUCAUCAACAAACACCCUCUAGC